UACCCUUUUUUUAAGGGAUAGGGUCGGUUCGGCCGGAUUUUACACAAGUGUUGCAUGGCUGUCGUCAGCUCGUGUCGUGAGAUGUUGGGUUAAGUCCCGCAACGAGCGCAACCCUCAUCCUUAGUUGCUAUCAGGUAAUGCUGAGUACUUUAAGGAAACUGCCAGUGAUAAGCUGGAGGAAGGUGGGGAUGAUGUCAAGUCAUCAUGGCCUUUAUGGAGUGGGCUACACACGUGCUACAAUGGUGUCUACAAUGGGCUGCAAGGUGCGCAAGCCUAAGCUAAUCCCUAAAAGACAUCUCAGUUCGGAUUGUACUCUGCAACUCGAGUACAUGAAGUUGGAAUCGCUAGUAAUCGUGGAUCAGCAUGCCACGGUGAAUACGUUCUCGGGUCUUGUACACACUGCCCGUCACGCCAUGGGAAUUGGUUCCUCCGAGCUGUAU
RNAcentral lists this ribosomal RNA (440 nucleotides) under Wolbachia endosymbiont of Trioza erytreae. RNAcentral's name for it is "bacterial SSU rRNA". It matches the Rfam family "Bacterial small subunit ribosomal RNA", at positions 993 to 1432 of the family's 1533-position model. Lineage: Bacteria; Pseudomonadati; Pseudomonadota; Alphaproteobacteria; Rickettsiales; Anaplasmataceae. The record is from RNAcentral.